GUUACCUUCGGGUAAUGAGGAUGGCGGACGGGUGAGUAACGCGUAAGGAACUUGCCUCUUGGACUGGGACAACUGUUGGAAACGACAGCUAAUACCGGAUAUUAUGAGAUUCUCGCAUGAGAAACUUAUGAAAGCUAUAUGCGCCAAGAGAGAGCCUUGCGUUCCAUUAGCUAGUUGGUGGGGUAACGGCCCACCAAGGCGACGAUGGAUAGCCGGCCUGAGAGGGUGAACGGCCACAAGGGGACUGAGACACGGCCCUUACUCCUACGGGAGGCAGCAGUGGGGAAUAUUGGACAAUGGGCCACAAGCCUGAUCCAGCAAUUCUGUGUGCACGAUGAAGGUCUUCGGAUUGUAAAGUGCUUUCAGUUGGGAAGAAGAAAGUGACGGUACCAACAGAAGAAGCGACGGCUAAAUACGUGCCAGCAGCCGCGGUAAUACGUAUGUCGCAAGCGUUAUCCGGAUUUAUUGGGCGUAAAGCGCGUCUAGGCGGAAAAAUAAGUCUGAUGUUAAAAUGCGGGGCUCAACUCCGUAUUGCGUUGGAAACUGUUUUUCUAGAGUACUGGAGAGGUGGGCGGAACUACAAGUGUAGAGGUGAAAUUCGUAGAUAUUUGUA
RNAcentral lists this ribosomal RNA (613 nucleotides) under uncultured bacterium. Its description in RNAcentral is "bacterial SSU rRNA". It matches the Rfam family "Bacterial small subunit ribosomal RNA", at positions 73 to 702 of the family's 1533-position model. The record is from RNAcentral.